GGAUGCGAUCAUACCAGCACUAACUCAUCGGAUCCCAUCAGAACUCCGAAGUUAAGUGUGCUUGGGCUAGAGUAGUACUAGGAUGGGUGACCUCCUAGGAAGUCCUUGUGUUGCAUUCC
Molecule: ribosomal RNA, 119 nt
Filed under: Hordeum vulgare subsp. vulgare (domesticated barley)
Lineage: Eukaryota; Viridiplantae; Streptophyta; Magnoliopsida; Poales; Poaceae
Source: RNAcentral